UAUCCGUGUGUUUUUCAAAAACCGCGCGCAUUUUUCAGUCAGUCACGUCACGUGCACUCCGCUCAUCCACACUGGACCGCACUCACUCACUCGCUGAUGGGAUCACAGCAGGAUUAACGUUAUUCGCGAGACACGACGCGGUCAUGGUAAAAAAUACAGUGCAAAGGCAGAGAGUGAAGGUGUGGUGGUAUUGGCAGCAAGAAGGCUGCAAUAAUAUGGGCCUGAAAUGAAGUACCGGAACAUUAUCAGUCAUUCAGGCUAUGAUCCUGGCAGAUCUACUUCCUGAAAAGAAGACUCAGCAGAUCUUUUCAAGACACACUAGAUGGAGCGCGGAGAGACCGGACAGUUCCCACAGUGCUAGUUUUUCAGCACCCACACCCCAA
Molecule: long non-coding RNA, 383 nt
Organism: Carassius auratus (goldfish)
Lineage: Eukaryota; Metazoa; Chordata; Actinopteri; Cypriniformes; Cyprinidae
Exons: 4
Source: RefSeq, a predicted model, not a curated record